UUUGUUCCCUAAAUAGGGACUUGUAUGAAUGGCCACACGAGGGCUUUACUGUCUCUUACUUCCAAUCCGUGAAAUUGACCUUCCCGUGAAGAGGCGGGAAUACAACAACAAGACGAGAAGACCCUAUGGAGCUUUAAUUAACCGACCCAAAGAGACCCUAUUAACUUAACCGACAGGAACAACAAACCUCUACAUGGGCCGACAAUUUAGGUUGGGGUGACCUCGGAGAAUAAAAAAACCUCCGAGUGAUUUAAAUCAAGACUAACCAGUCAAAAGUAUUACAUCACUUAUUGAUCCAAAAACUUGAUCAACGGAAUAAGUUACCCUAGGGAUAACAGCGCAAUCCUAUUUCAGAGUCCAUAUCGACAAUAGGG
Molecule: ribosomal RNA, 374 nt
Filed under: Pardofelis marmorata (marbled cat)
Lineage: Eukaryota; Metazoa; Chordata; Mammalia; Carnivora; Felidae
Description: partial 16S ribosomal RNA
Rfam family: Bacterial large subunit ribosomal RNA
Source: RNAcentral